Molecule: ribosomal RNA, 440 nt
Filed under: uncultured bacterium
Lineage: Bacteria
Description: partial 16S ribosomal RNA
Rfam family: Bacterial small subunit ribosomal RNA
Source: RNAcentral
CCUACGGGAGGCAGCAGUGGGGAAUAUUGCACAAUGGGGGAAACCCUGAUGCAGCGACGCCGCGUGAGUGAAGAAGUAUUUCGGUAUGUAAAGCUCUAUCAGCAGGGAAGAAAAUGACGGUACCUGACUAAGACGCCCCGGCUAACUACGUGCCAGCAGCCGCGGUAAUACGUAGGGGGCAAGCGUUAUCCGGAUUUACUGGGUGUAAAGGGAGCGUAGACGGCAGAGCAAGUCUGAAGUGAAAGCCCGAGGCCCAACUGCGGGACUGCUUUGGAAACUGCCCGGCUAGAGUGCUGGAGAGGUAAGCGGAAUGCAUAGUGUAGCGGUGAAAUGCGUAGAUAUAUGGAAGAACACCAGUGGCGAAAGCAGCUCUCUGGUCUGUAACUGACGCUGAGGUUCGAAAGCGUGGGUAGCAAACAGGAUUAGAUACCCCUGUAGUC